GGGCCAGGGUUCUAAAUGCUGCCUUUACUUGCAGAAAGAUGUGAGUCUGCAGUUUCUGGCACUAAGAUUGUAAAAAGUAGGAACUUCAUGGGAUUGUUGUGAAGGUUAGAGAUAAGGUCAGUUUAAGUACUCCAUACUUUUUCAGAGUUUAGCUGGAAACUUCCCUUAUCAUGAACAAAUUUCUCUAACAUUUUUACUGCUUCAACAUAUCAAAUAUGCUGGGCUCUUCGAACGUUGACCCUAUUUCUAAGGCUUUUCUUCCUCUUUUAGCCCAUUGGUACCGAUAUGUUCGUCCUCCUUACUUAUACACUCGAGGUGCAACUGGGAGUCGCUGGAGUAGUGAAGGGGGUACACUGGCCAAGUUGAAGUCACAGUAGGAAAGGACGGGCUUGACUGCGGGCAUAGAUAUGAAAUUCGGGCCCAGCAGAGUCCCCGACUUGUUGUGAUUCGGAAGAAGGGACGUGAACGUGGGUGGUAAAACGACAGGAGUCAAGGGAGGAGGCAAAUGGGGUGCACAUGGGACAUUGGCAAUGGAAAAGAAGGAAACCAAUUUAGACCCUAGGUCCACUUGGGCGAUGAAAUGCAAAUAGAGGUCUGUCCCAUCCUCCCUCAAUCCUUCCUUGGAGAAAGGCGAAUGCCAAAGGAGGCCCCAUCCUUAAACCGCUUUGAGCCCAGCUCCCCGGAGGCCCAGGAGAACCCACGAUCGAGAGGAGACCUCCGAGUUGCCUAGACGGACCCGGAAGUGCGCGCGGCGGAGCCCGUUUCCAGACCUGCCCGGGGGGGCCCGAGGUGGCCGCCGCUACGGAGCGGCUGCACGAUGACUGCCGGUCCGUUGUGUCCUGCUCUGAAGAAAUUUUAGAUCAAGUGUUGGCCUUGGAGCAGUACCAGAGAUUGGACCCAGCCCAUGGAGAAGCUGCCUGAGCAGAUGUCCCCGGAGUCCAGUGCCCAUCCGCCGAGCAGGAGCCUUGAAAGAGCAAGGAUUUGCCGCAGCAGCACUCUCCUCGCACUAAGUCUUGGAGGAUCAGUCAUUCCAGUACCUGCCAACUUGCUUGGCCUUUGGAGAAGCUCAGUAAAUGUUCUGUGAAUAAAGAAAUGAAUGAACCCAGCCAACACGGUUGACUUAUCUUCUCUGGACAGAGUGGAAUAAGCAUGUGACCAGAGCUGAGCUAAUCAGAACGGUUCCUUGGGUGAGAAUAGGGUGAGGAAAGCCUUUUUUAUUCUUUUUAUUUUUGUGUGUGUUUGUUUAUUUUUGAGAGAGAGAGAGAGAGACAGUGUGAGUCGGGGAGAGGCAGACACAGAAUGUAAAGCAGGCUCCAGGCUCUGAGCUGUCAGCACAGAGCCUGAUGCUGGGCUUGAACUCACUAACCAUGAGAUCAUGACCUGAGCCAAAGUUGGACACUUAACUGACCAAGCCACCUGGGUACCCCAAACCUUCUUUUUCUCCAGGAUGACUAAAUGUGAGGACGGGAGUCUGGAAGUGGAUUGUUUUCCCUGCCACUUGGAGAAUAAAAACCCUACUGGGUAGAGGAGAUCAGAGCUCUCUCUCUGAGAUCAGGGCAGUACGUUGUGUGUUUGAGGGGGUGGGGUUGGCUCUUCCUGACCAGCUCUGGUCCUUCCAGCUGCACCUCUGCCCUAAGCCAGCUAAGCCAGUAGCGGCCAUCUCUGGUGAACAUUUACAAAUUGGGUUCUGAUGGGACACCUGGGUGGCUCAGUCGGUUAAGCCUCUGACUUUGGCUCAGGUCAUGAUCUUGUGGUUUGUGAGUUUGAGCCUCGAGUCAGACUCUGUGCUGACAGCUCGGAGCCUCCUUCAGAUUCUGUGUCUCUCCCUCUCUCUGCCCCUCCCAAUCUCACGUUCUGUCUCUGUCUCUCAAUAAUAAAUAAGCAUUAAAAAAAAUUAGAGGACAACAACAACAAAUUGGGUUCUGAAACUUUGAGAGAUACAGUCCUGAAUGGUAGAGCGGCCUGUCACAUGCCUCUCAUGUGACAGGUGAUUGGGUAAGUUACUGGUUCAUCCCAUCUCGUCUUUUAAUGUGUCAGGGCUAGGGGAGAGGUGACCAGGUGCCAGAUACCGUACUGGCUUUUAAAAAAUUCUGGAGUUACAAAUGCAUUUCCUUGGUGAAAGCAGACUCAUAGCGGGGCAGAGGGGGGCUGUGUGUGGUGGGCUGGUGGCUUACCCAGCCCCAAGUAUGGCUACCCUCUACCCAUUUCCCAGAGCUGGAAGAUAGUCCUGCCCUCUCUUUGAAGAGUCUUCCCCCAGUCUGAAACCAGCUGCCAUGGUGCAGCCAAACUUCUCAGG
Long non-coding RNA from Suricata suricatta (meerkat), 2296 nucleotides. The record is from Ensembl. NCBI's taxonomy places the organism in Eukaryota, Metazoa, Chordata, Mammalia, Carnivora, Herpestidae.